Molecule: ribosomal RNA, 432 nt
Filed under: uncultured bacterium
Lineage: Bacteria
Description: partial 16S ribosomal RNA
Rfam family: Bacterial small subunit ribosomal RNA
Source: RNAcentral
AACGAACGCUGGCGGCAUGCCUAACACAUGCAAGUCGAACGAGACCUUCGAGUCUAGUGGCGCACGGGUGCGUAACGCGUGGGAACCUGCCCUUAGGUUCGGAAUAACUCCCCGAAAGGGGUGCUAAUACCGGAUAAUGUCUUCGGACCAAAGAUUUAUCGCCUUUGGAUGGGCCCGCGUUGGAUUAGCUAGUUGGUAGGGUAAAAGCCUACCAAGGCGACGAUCCAUAGCUGGUCUGAGAGGAUGAUCAGCCACACUGGGACUGAGACACGGCCCAGACUCCUACGGGGGGCAGCAGGGGGGAAUAUGGGAAAAUGGGCGAAAGCCUGACCCAGCAAUGCCGGGGGAGGGAUGAAGGCCUUGGGGUUGUAAAGCUCUUUUCCCCGGGAUGAUAAUGACAGUACCGGGAGAAUAAGCCCCGGCUAACCCCGU